GUGUCUGAUCAAUUGCUCGUCUUGGGGUGAAAAUGAGCCUCGUUUAAGGUCGGGGCGUAAGUAGUUAAUCCAC
RNAcentral lists this microRNA precursor (73 nucleotides) under Picea abies (Norway spruce). RNAcentral's name for it is "miR11435 stem-loop (pab-MIR11435)". The record is from miRBase by way of RNAcentral. Lineage: Eukaryota; Viridiplantae; Streptophyta; Pinopsida; Pinales; Pinaceae.